Felis catus (domestic cat) is the source of this 2015-nucleotide long non-coding RNA. RefSeq lists it as uncharacterized. Lineage: Eukaryota; Metazoa; Chordata; Mammalia; Carnivora; Felidae. The transcript has 2 exons. The record is from RefSeq and is a predicted model, not a curated record.
UCUGGGAAGAGACGGGCACGAGAAGGAAUGAUCCUUUUGGUCCUCAGUAACCCUUCAAGUGCAUCAGUUAACUACGUAUGUUCUCCAGGUAUGAAAUCUCUCCUGCUACUCCAGACUUUCUAAGACAGAAAACGACACACCCCAGUCGGGCCCUGUGACUCCACCCUAGACCGGCCUUGGCUGCUAUUACGUGGGCCCGUUCCAGCUGUUCCGUUCACCCCCAGCCCUCGGCCUGCAGGUGCGGAACACGACCCGUUUCUGCACGAAGCAGCCCGUGGCUGCGGGGAGCAGGGUCCCGAGAGCCACAUCCCCGCAGCAGUAGGAGGUUCGUUACCUCCCUGCCGACACAGCUUUGCCUUCUACGUGCAGAGGCCCCCAGACUUUAUCGAGCUUCCUGGGGAAGCUGUCACUGCCCUUAUGACAUCUCUCUAGUCUUUGAAAAGCAGACAAGCUUUGGGCAGCUGCAUGCUGGUGAGUGGGGAGCACGAGCUCUCUGUGGUGAAAGAGAAAAGUAAAAUUGGCCCAGGAGCAAAAGGACAUCAAUACCAGGAGGGGUCCACCAGCCGGGGCCCUGGGGGAGGGCAGCCCCUGGGUCUGGAGCCCAUAUUCCAGCUACCUCUGUGGUCCAGAAAACAACGAGCCAAUCGACGUGGUCACCCCAGGCAUGACCGUCCCUGGCAGAAACAAAUCAUUUCUGGAUGUGGAGGCCCCCUUCGCCCUGGGUCUCACAGUGAUAUAAAAACAUAAACUCAGCCCAGUCCAGGGUCUACAGCACACGGUGGGAACCGGUCCGUCACUCGGAGCGAAGGUCAGCGGAAAGGAGCUCCGUGUAACACCCUUUACUGAGAAUUCAAAUGACUUUACGCAUUUUAAUGACCUUAAAGAUGGAAUCAAAAACCAGCCGAAUGACUUUCAGAUAGGAACAUUUUAAUCACUGAAAUGUAAAACUGUGGGCCGGUAUUAAACCGAUGGUUAGGGACUAGGGCCAAACAAAUUAGGAAGAAUGAAUAAGACCGUAGGGCGCAGAAACAGACGGAAAAUGCAAACCCGCAGCACUGUCCCAGUUCUGAGACAAGAGGUGGUGGGGGACACGGACAAAGAGGCUGAUUUUCUCCCAGACUUGCUGGAAGAUGUGACGUCCCAGAUUUAGGAAGCAAAAAUCUAUUCCAAGGAAGACAGAUGAAAGAAAUCCUCCCCUACAUCACCUGCAGUGAAGCUGGGGAACGUCAGAGAGAGGGCACGAGAGGGAAGAGAAGGAAAUAAUUAGAUUGACGGCUUCUCGACAACAAUAUAAGAAGACAAUGGAAUAAGUUCAAAGAGGUGAGAUAAAUGCCAUUUCUAAAAUUAUGUAACAUUAAAUGGCAUUUAAGAUCGAGCAUCAGCUACGAGCGCAGACAGCUCGUCACCACAAACCUACUCUCGCCACAGGCACAGAGUCCAGGAGGUCGGGCCCAGGAUGCAGGAGCCCAGACAUCACGUCCCUCUCUGUCCUGGGCACUGGGUCCACUAGGGGACUUCCGAGGCCUGAGUAAGAGUGUCUCGCGGCACAGGGCGCAGCCCCCGGCUCCAGAAGAUUCGACUUUGCCGAACUGCCAGUUCAGCAGGGACCCACGGGAGCCUGAGAUCUAACUGUGGGCACACACACGUACGGAACAGCGUGUCUCCCAGGUGAUCUGUCAAGAUACCCCAGCACCCAGCAACAAAGAAAACAGGAGUCAUGUUGGGUGGAAGACCGAACCCGGGUCAGGGUCGUACCAGGUUACACGUGCCCUGAUGGCACUAGGACUGCUGGGCGCGUGGCGGGUGCCGGGUCCCCUCUGCUGCCUGGCGAGCUGGCGUGGCCUCGUGCCUCCUCAAGUGCCUGAUGCUCCCAGCUCCGUGGGUUCUCCAGCCUCACCCUGAUCCAAGGAGUCAUGGGUGUCCCUUUACCCUUUACUCUGAUAAUUUGCUGGAUAAAACUUUCCAUUCCUUUGUCUUAAUUAAAAAAUGAUGCUUUGGAAAGUGAGAAAAAUUCA